This 605-nucleotide ribosomal RNA is filed under the name uncultured bacterium. RNAcentral describes it as "bacterial SSU rRNA". It matches the Rfam family "Bacterial small subunit ribosomal RNA", at positions 331 to 929 of the family's 1533-position model. The record is from RNAcentral.
CCAGACUCCUACGGGAGGCAGCAGUGGGGAAUAUUGCACAAUGGGCGCAAGCCUGAUGCAGCGACGCCGCGUGAGGGAUGGAGGCCUUCGGGUUGUAAACCUCUUUCGCCAGUGAAGCAGGCCUGCUCCUUGUGGGUGGGUUGACGGUAGCUGGAUAAGAAGCGCCGGCUAACUACGUGCCAGCAGCCGCGGUAAUACGUAGGGCGCGAGCGUUGUCCGGAAUUAUUGGGCGUAAAGAGCUCGUAGGCGGCUGGUCGCGUCUGUCGUGAAAUCCUCUGGCUUAACUGGGGGCUUGCGGUGGGUACGGGCCGGCUUGAGUGCGGUAGGGGAGACUGGAACUCCUGGUGUAGCGGUGGAAUGCGCAGAUAUCAGGAAGAACACCGGUGGCGAAGGCGGGUCUCUGGGCCGUUACUGACGCUGAGGAGCGAAAGCGUGGGGAGCGAACAGGAUUAGAUACCCUGGUAGUCCACGCCGUAAACGUUGGGCACUAGGUGUGGGGGGCCUUUUCCGGGUCUUCCGCGCCGUAGCUAACGCAUUAAGUGCCCCGCCUGGGGAGUACGGCCGCAAGGCUAAAACUCAAAGGAAUUGACGGGGGCCCGCACAAG